GAGCAGUUCACCUAGGAGAGCAAACUCCGAUUACAAACCCGGCCAGGUGGAGGUCGUUAGCGUGAGCAGUUCACCUAGGAGAGCAAACUCCGAUUACAAACCCGGCCAGGUGGAGAUCGUUAGCGUAAGCAGUUCACCUAGGAGAAGGACAACUCUGAUCACAAACCCGGGGAGGUGGAGAUCGUUAGCCAUGGUAAGCAAUUCACCUAGGAGAGCAAACUCUGAACAACAAACCCGGGCAGGUGGGGCUCGUUAGCUGUGGGAGGCAAUUCACCUAGGAGAGGGACAACUCCGAAUAACAAACACGGGCAGGUGGGGUUCGUUAGCCGUGGGAGGCAGUUCACCUAGGAGAGGGACAACUCCGAAUAACAAACACGGGCAGGUGGGGUUCGUUAGCCGUGGGAGGCAGUUCACCUAGGAGAGGGACAACUCCGAAUAACAAACACGGGCAGGUGGAGGUCGUUAGCGUGAGCAGUUCACCUAGGAGAGCAAACUCCGAUUACAAAUCCGGGCAGGUGGAGGUCGUUAGCGUGAGCAGUUCACCUAGGAGAGCAAACUCCGAUUACAAACCCGGCCAGGUGGAGGUCGUUAGCGUGAGCAGUUCACCUAGGAGAGCAAACUCCGAUUACAAACCCGGCCAGGUGGAGGUCGUUAGCGUGAGCAGUUCACCUAGGAGAAGGACAACUCUGAUCACAAACCCGGGGAGGUGGAGAUCGUUAGCCGCGAGGCAGUUCACCAAGGAGAGCAAACUCCGAUCACAAACCCGGGCAGGAGGGGAUCGUUAGCCGUGGUAGGCAAUCUUCCUAGGAGAAGGAAAACUCCGAAUUCAAACCAACCAACCAAACAACUAACCGACCAACCGGGGAGGUGGGACUCGUUAUAGGCGUCGUAGACAAUCCACCACGGGAAUCAACAAAAAAGGGAUAAUAAAAACGAACACAAGAAAAGAAUAACAUGAAAUUAAAACAGGACAAAAAAAGAUGAUAUAAAAUAAAACACCGAAAAAAAAGGAUAGUUUCGAAAAUAACAUCGAGAAAAGCAUAAGACACACACGAAUCAUCCACCUUUAGACCCUAACAUCAACAUCGUCAAAAUUAUGGGUGGGUCUCUUCUGGGAGGAAAGAGGCUUACCCAGACCAACAAAGAACACCAAGAAAGGAUGAUAUUAACAAGAAAAACAAAACAUCGAAAAGAAAACCAACAGCAAGUAAAAGAGCAGCAUCAAAAUUAUAGUAUAGAAUAAGAAAAAAAGGAAAGGAAAAAGAAAAAGAAAAAGAAAAGAAAAAACGCCAAGAAAUAAAAUAAAAUAAACAAAUAAAACUAAUAAAAAACAAUUAGCUAAAUAAAUAAAUUAAUUAAUAAA
Molecule: long non-coding RNA, 1363 nt
Organism: Eriocheir sinensis (Chinese mitten crab)
Lineage: Eukaryota; Metazoa; Arthropoda; Malacostraca; Decapoda; Varunidae
Exons: 2
Source: RefSeq, a predicted model, not a curated record